This 695-nucleotide ribosomal RNA is filed under the name uncultured Verrucomicrobiota bacterium. RNAcentral's name for it is "bacterial SSU rRNA". It matches the Rfam family "Bacterial small subunit ribosomal RNA", at positions 99 to 795 of the family's 1533-position model. Lineage: Bacteria; Pseudomonadati; Verrucomicrobiota. The record is from RNAcentral.
CGGACGGGUGAGUAACGCGUGAAUUACAUGCCCUAUAGUGGGGAAUAGCCCAGGGAAACUUGGAUUAAUACCCCAUGGUCUCGCAAGAGUAAAGGUGGCCGCAAGGCUGUCGCUAUAGGAUUGGUUCGCACCCUAUCAGCUUGUUGGUGAGGUAACGGCUCACCAAGGCUACGACGGGUACCUGGUCUGAGAGGACGAUCAGGCACACUGGAACUGAGACACGGUCCAGACACCUACGGGUGGCAGCAGUCGAGAAUAAUUCACAAUGGGGGCAACCCUGAUGGUGCAACGCCGCGUGGAGGAUGACGGUCUUCGGAUUGUAAACUCCUGUCAUCUGGGAGUAAGACCUGGUCGUUAAUAGCGGACAGGGUUGAUAGUACCAGAAGAGGAAGGGACGGCUAACUUCGUGCCAGCAGCCGCGGUAAUACGAAGGUCCCGAGCGUUGUUCGGAAUCACUGGGCGUAAAGGGAGCGUAGGCGGCGUGGUAAGUCAGAUGUGAAAUCCCGGGGCUCAACCCCGGAACUGCAUCCGAUACUGCCGUGCUAGAGGAUUGGAGAGGUAGCUGGAAUUCUUGGUGUAGCAGUGAAAUGCGUGGAUAUCAAGAGGAACACUCGUGGCGAAAGCGAGCUACUGGACAACUCCUGACGCUGAGCUCGAAGCCAGGGUAGCGAAAGGGAUUAGAUACCUCUGUAGUC